This 709-nucleotide ribosomal RNA is filed under the name Shewanella decolorationis. RNAcentral's name for it is "partial 16S rRNA". Lineage: Bacteria; Pseudomonadati; Pseudomonadota; Gammaproteobacteria; Alteromonadales; Shewanellaceae. The record is from RNAcentral.
UUGUCCAGGGGGCCGCCUUCGCCACCGGUAUUCCUCCAGAUCUCUACGCAUUUCACCGCUACACCUGGAAUUCUACCCCCCUCUACAAGACUCUAGUUUGCCAGUUCGAAAUGCAAUUCCCAGGUUGAGCCCGGGGCUUUCACAUCUCGCUUAACAAACCGCCUGCGCACGCUUUACGCCCAGUAAUUCCGAUUAACGCUUGGACCCUCCGUAUUACCGCGGCUGCUGGCACGGAGUUAGCCGGUCCUUCUUCUGUAGGUAACGUCACAGCUGCAAGGUAUUAACUUACAACCUUUCCUCCCUACUGAAAGUGCUUUACAACCCGAAGGCCUUCUUCACACACGCGGCAUGGCUGCAUCAGGGUUUCCCCCAUUGUGCAAUAUUCCCCACUGCUGCCUCCCGUAGGAGUCUGGGCCGUGUCUCAGUCCCAGUGUGGCUGAUCAUCCUCUCAGAACAGCUAGGGAUCGUCGCCUUGGUGAGCCAUUACCUCACCAACUAGCUAAUCCCACCUAGGUUCAUCCAAUCGCGGAAGGCCCGAAGGUCCCCUCCUUUCCCCCGUAGGGCGUAUGCGGUAUUAGCAGUCGUUUCCAACUGUUAUCCCCCACGACUGGGCAGAUCCCUAGGCAUUACUCACCCGUCCGCCGCUCGCCACCUCAGGAGUAAACUCCCUUGUGCUGCCGCUCGACUUGCAUGUGUUAGGCCUGCCGCC